GAGGCCACGAUUCAAAGCGCGGAACCAAAACAUGUAAACAGAGACCUUACUCUUUCCUGGGAUUUGCUUAACGUAGUCAUUUUUUACCUCCGCGCUUUACAUUGAUCUCGCUGUUUGCAAUGGCUUACUCAGUGUGAGUCAAACGGCUGCUGGACAGAGGACCUGAAGAGGAAGAGGUCCUCCUAAAAUCGCGGAGGCAGUCCGUCCGCUACACAACUCUGAGGGAAACCGUCGGCGCUAUGACCCAGAGCACGGAUUAUGCUCGCCAUAUAAUGAGACGGUCACCUCAGUUUAGUGGGAGCACUGACCAUAAGCCCGGAAUUGCGCGAUGAAGGCCUGGAUAAAAAUGACUUUGUUGUUGCCCGCAAGACAUACUACGAGAAAUAUCCGGUACAGUCAGCUAGAGUUAGCAAAUGUGGCUGCAGCUAAUAAGACCUCAGCCCGGAGUCUCCAGAGCAGGAAGAGGCAUGCAGGAACAUAUCAAGAUAAUAAGGGUGUAAACACUGUCUACAGUGUGGUGUGCAAGCAACCAAGAACAGAGACUCCAGCAGACAGCAGUGCUGCAGAAAAUGCCAAUUUAUGAUGUUCCUUCAAACUGUGUAAGAUGCAAUCAUUUUCCUGUCUCUAAAAUAAAUACAGCAUAUGUACCAUUAGGUCCUAAUAAUGUAGGGUAUCAGAGAGAUGGAGAAUUUUGUGUAUGAUUGAACAGACAUAAUGUUCCAGAAACAGACAUAACAUACUGUUUUAUGCAAACUGCCAAAUGCAAAAGGAUUUUUGUAUGUACUAUAAAUAGAAAAUGGUGAUAAUUUGGCCAUAUAUAGUUAAAAAAAAAAACCCAUAUAACCAUAUAAAAACACAAAGUUUUUCUCCUCAAUAAAAUCAAAGCAAACUUUUUUUAAAUAUAUAUUUGUUUUUUUAUAUUCAGAUGUAAAACGCAUAUAUAUAUAUAUAUUCAACAUGUGAAUAAUGUAUUUAAAACAGUAUAUUCUAUGUGUUACAGUAUAAAAAUUGCACCCUACUCUCUUGGCUUUCCAAGUAAACAGAUUACACACUACAUAUACUUUAUAUUUUUGGUGAAUGAAGCAUAAAAAAUCACAACAUGACUAAAUACAUUCCUUUCACAUGACUGUUGCAUGGUGAAACCAUUUUUUUUUUUUACCAGUAACCCAAUAACUUCCUCUUUUGUCUGCUGCUACUUGUAGACUGCAUUAGACCGCAUGUGCAAAUUUAGACUAUAGUCUAAACUGACUUACAUUAUUAGCUUUGCAAGUUACCACUUCAGUUAAACUAAACCAGAUUACAGACACAAAAUGGUAUACGGCUUUCCAGCGAUGAAUCAGGAGCGUGCACACAAACAUUUUUUAAGGGGAAAUGACCAUUAACAGUGUUAAAUGACUGAAAAAAAGUCGUCUUCCUUUUUAUUAGGCCAGGGUAUCCGAGUGUGACAGCGGUGACAAUGUGCAAAAUGAUGACACGCAUACAGUUUACUGGAAACUGGGGCAGACACAUGAACAGCAUUUGGCUGCAGUUUUUUUUUUUUCCAAGAAGAGUUAGAGUUCUCAGCAAAGCCCCCUGUACCUGAAGAUAACAAAACUUGCUAAAGCAGAGCCACAAGCUUAUUUAGCAGUGCAGGUGGUUGCUCUCUCAAACCUGCUUUCCUGUCACAAUGAGGAGCUAUCUCCACAUCGUCACCUUCAUCAUCCUGAAUUUCAUAGCUGACUGCGGCGCUCGGGUCCAUGUGGUGUACCAGUCAAUAGGAGAAACUGCUCAUCUCACAUUGAAAGAACACUGGAAUAUAACAGCAGUCAAAUGGAGGAAGAAUCAUAAUCUGAUUGCAACUGUAGAAAAAAAAAAGCCAGUUAUUAAGCAUCCAGAAAAAUUUCAUAUACAUGCUUCUGAUAGCUCUUUGUUUAUCCAUAAUUUGACGGUGAGUGACUCUGGAUAUUAUAAAGCUCAAACUGGACAAUGGGAAGAAGACUUAAUCAUAUACAGUCUGAUAGUACAAGAGGCUGUCUCAAAACCAGUAAUCAAUCUUCAGUCAAACUCCUCCUCUGUUUGCCACAUCUUGGUUAAAUGUUCUGCUGAUGGCGACACAGUGAUGUACAUCUGUGACCCCCAUCAAUGCACUCUGACAAAUGCCACAUCCACCAUGGUGAACAUGACUGUUAGCUACACAGACACCGGGGUGUUCGAAUGCACAGCCAGCAACCGUGUAAGCACAAAAAAGACGUCAGUACACAUGAUGAACUCAUGUCCUGAAAAAUUAGCACCCACAACAACAGCGACAAUCAUUUGUAUAAUAAGCAUAGCACUGUUUGCUGUCCUGAUGAUCUGGAUUAUCUUUUUUACAAUACCAGGAAGAAAAAGAAAGAAACAGGUCAGGACACCCCAAAAUGUCAGUGGUAUCAGACCACAAAAUAAAUGACACGCACACUUUGCUUGAAGCUAGAGCAGAAGAAGAGCAUGAAGAAGAACCAUGAAGGACAUGAGAUCCAUGAUUGUAGUGUAAUAUAGUAUAAUAAUAGUAUUAUCAUAAUAUACUAGCAUUAUUACUGUGUGUUUGUUUUGGUGCUUCAAAUCAGUGUCUCUGUAGCAGAAGUGAUGCUGAUCUUCCUUUCAGUUUGGUUCAGUGAAGCUCUCUCUCUGCUGGUGAGAGACUGAACUACAGCUGAACUCCACUCAGUCUCUCAGACCUAUUUUUGUACCUAAUAAAACCUAAAUGUAUUAACAAUCUGAAGGUCACUUCCAAAACACAUAACAGACUGCAGGUCAUAUUGUAUAUGAGUAUUCACCUUCUGAUGUUGUAACACAAAUAAAAAGUCUUUUCUCUUUUGA
This is an RNA transcript of Hemibagrus wyckioides, 2835 nucleotides long. It is a transcript of the gene named coxsackievirus and adenovirus receptor homolog, with no coding region annotated. NCBI's taxonomy places the organism in Eukaryota, Metazoa, Chordata, Actinopteri, Siluriformes, Bagridae. The record is from RefSeq and is a predicted model, not a curated record. The transcript is spliced from 11 exons.